Molecule: ribosomal RNA, 1182 nt
Filed under: Escherichia coli
Lineage: Bacteria; Pseudomonadati; Pseudomonadota; Gammaproteobacteria; Enterobacterales; Enterobacteriaceae
Description: partial 23S ribosomal RNA
Rfam family: Bacterial large subunit ribosomal RNA
Source: RNAcentral
GUAUCCUGUCUGAAUAUGGGGGGACCAUCCUCCAAGGCUAAAUACUCCUGACUGACCGAUAGUGAACCAGUACCGUGAGGGAAAGGCGAAAAGAACCCCGGCGAGGGGAGUGAAAAAGAACCUGAAACCGUGUACGUACAAGCAGUGGGAGCACGCUUAGGCGUGUGACUGCGUACCUUUUGUAUAAUGGGUCAGCGACUUAUAUUCUGUAGCAAGGUUAACCGAAUAGGGGAGCCGAAGGGAAACCGAGUCUUAACUGGGCGUUAAGUUGCAGGGUAUAGACCCGAAACCCGGUGAUCUAGCCAUGGGCAGGUUGAAGGUUGGGUAACACUAACUGGAGGACCGAACCGACUAAUGUUGAAAAAUUAGCGGAUGACUUGUGGCUGGGGGUGAAAGGCCAAUCAAACCGGGAGAUAGCUGGUUCUCCCCGAAAGCUAUUUAGGUAGCGCCUCGUGAAUUCAUCUCCGGGGGUAGAGCACUGUUUCGGCAAGGGGGUCAUCCCGACUUACCAACCCGAUGCAAACUGCGAAUACCGGAGAAUGUUAUCACGGGAGACACACGGCGGGUGCUAACGUCCGUCGUGAAGAGGGAAACAACCCAGACCGCCAGCUAAGGUCCCAAAGUCAUGGUUAAGUGGGAAACGAUGUGGGAAGGCCCAGACAGCCAGGAUGUUGGCUUAGAAGCAGCCAUCAUUUAAAGAAAGCGUAAUAGCUCACUGGUCGAGUCGGCCUGCGCGGAAGAUGUAACGGGGCUAAACCAUGCACCGAAGCUGCGGCAGCGACACUAUGUGUUGUUGGGUAGGGGAGCGUUCUGUAAGCCUGUGAAGGUGUGCUGUGAGGCAUGCUGGAGGUAUCAGAAGUGCGAAUGCUGACAUAAGUAACGAUAAAGCGGGUGAAAAGCCCGCUCGCCGGAAGACCAAGGGUUCCUGUCCAACGUUAAUCGGGGCAGGGUGAGUCGACCCCUAAGGCGAGGCCGAAAGGCGUAGUCGAUGGGAAACAGGUUAAUAUUCCUGUACUUGGUGUUACUGCGAAGGGGGGACGGAGAAGGCUAUGUUGGCCGGGCGACGGUUGUCCCGGUUUAAGCGUGUAGGCUGGUUUUCCAGGCAAAUCCGGAAAAUCAAGGCUGAGGCGUGAUGACGAGGCACUACGGUGCUGAAGCAACAAAUGCCCUGCUUCCAGGAAA